CCUACGGGUGGCAGCAGUGGGGAAUAUUGCGCAAUGGGCGAAAGCCUGACGCAGCGACGCCGCGUGAGGGAUGAAGGUCUUCGGAUCGUAAACCUCUGUCAGCAGGGAAGAACGGUCACUGUGCUAAUCAUCAGUGAAUUGACGUUACCUGCAAAGGAAGCACCGGCUAACUCCGUGCCAGCAGCCGCGGUAAUACGGAGGGUGCGAGCGUUAAUCGGAAUUACUGGGCGUAAAGCGCUCGUAGGCGGUAUGUCAAGUCAAGGGUGAAAUCCCCGCGCUCAACGUGGGAACUGCCUUUGAUACUGGCAAACUGGAGUGUGUGAGAGGAUAGUGGAAUUCCAGGUGUAGGAGUGAAAUCCGUAGAUAUCUGGAGGAACAUCAGUGGCGAAGGCGACUAUCUGGAACAUAACUGACGCUGAGGAGCGAAAGCGUGGGUAGCAAACAGGAUUAGAUACCCGAGUAGUC
RNAcentral lists this ribosomal RNA (465 nucleotides) under uncultured bacterium. RNAcentral describes it as "partial 16S ribosomal RNA". It matches the Rfam family "Bacterial small subunit ribosomal RNA", at positions 338 to 795 of the family's 1533-position model. The record is from RNAcentral.